GCCGAGAUGGUGGAAUUGGUAUACACGAUGGCCUCAAAAUCCAUUGCUCGAAAGAGCAUGCGGGUUCGACUCCCGCUCUCGGCA
Molecule: transfer RNA, 84 nt
Filed under: Stackebrandtia endophytica
Lineage: Bacteria; Bacillati; Actinomycetota; Actinomycetes; Glycomycetales; Glycomycetaceae
Rfam family: tRNA
About the family: Transfer RNA (tRNA) molecules are approximately 80 nucleotides in length. Their secondary structure includes four short double-helical elements and three loops (D, anti-codon, and T loops). Further hydrogen bonds mediate the characteristic L-shaped molecular structure. tRNAs have two regions of fundamental functional importance: the anti-codon, which is responsible for specific mRNA codon recognition, and the 3' end, to which the tRNAs corresponding amino acid is attached (by aminoacyl-tRNA synthetases). tRNAs cope with the degeneracy of the genetic code in two manners: having more than one tRNA (with a specific anti-codon) for a particular amino acid; and 'wobble' base-pairing, i.e. permitting non-standard base-pairing at the 3rd anti-codon position.
Source: Rfam by way of RNAcentral